AUUGAACGCUGGCGGAAUGCUUUACACAUGCAAGUCGAACGGCAGCGCGGGUGCUUGCACCUGGCGGCGAGUGGCGAACGGGUGAGUAAUAUAUCGGAACGUGUCCAAUAAUGGGGGAUAACUAGUCGAAAGAUUAGCUAAUACCCCAUACGCCCCGAGGGGGAAAGCGGAGGAUCGUAAGACUUCGCCUUAAUGGAGCGGACGAAAUGGGAUUAGCUAGUUGGUAGGGGGAAAAGCCUACCAAGGCGACGAUCCGUAGCUGGUCUGAGAGGACGACCAGCCACACUGGAACUGAGACACGGUCCAGACUCCUACGGGAGGCGGCAGUGGGGAAUUUUGGACAAUGGGGGCAACCCUGAUCCAGCCAUUCCGCGUGAGUGAAGAAGGCCUUCGGGUUGUAAAGCUCUUUCGCAAGGGAAGAAAACUUAGGCUCUAACAUAGCCUGAGGCUGACGGUACCUUGAUAAGAAGCACCGGCUAACUACGUGCCAGCAGCCGCCGUAA
RNAcentral lists this ribosomal RNA (503 nucleotides) under uncultured bacterium. RNAcentral's name for it is "partial 16S ribosomal RNA". It matches the Rfam family "Bacterial small subunit ribosomal RNA", at positions 30 to 523 of the family's 1533-position model. The record is from RNAcentral.